This 492-nucleotide ribosomal RNA is filed under the name uncultured bacterium. RNAcentral describes it as "partial 16S ribosomal RNA". It matches the Rfam family "Bacterial small subunit ribosomal RNA", at positions 29 to 507 of the family's 1533-position model. The record is from RNAcentral.
AGUGAACGCUGGCGGUAGGCCUAACACAUGCAAGUCGAACGGCAGCACAGUAAGAGCUUGCUCUUACGGGUGGCGAGUGGCGGACGGGUGAGGAAUACAUCGGAAUCUACUUUUUCGUGGGGGAUAACGUAGGGAAACUUACGCUAAUACCGCAUACGACCUACGGGUGAAAGCAGGGGAUCUUCGGACCUUGCGCGAUUGAAUGAGCCGAUGUCGCAUUAGCUAGUUGGCGGGGUAAAGGCCCACCAAGGCGACGAUCCUUAGCUGGUCUGAGAGGAUGAUCAGCCACACUGGAACUGAGACACGGUCCAGACUCCUACGGGAGGCAGCAGUGGGGAAUAUUGGACAAUGGGCGCAAGCCUGAUCCAGCCAUACCGCGUGGGUGAAGAAGGCCUUCGGGUUGUAAAGCCCUUUUGUUGGGAAAGAAAAGCAGCAGGUUAAUACCCCGCUGUUCUGACGGUACCCAAAGAAUAAGCACCGGCUAACUUCGUG